UACGAAGGGUGCUAGCGUUGUUCGGAAUCACUGGGCGUAAAGCGCGCGUAGGCGGCGAUACAAGUCAGAGGUGAAAUCCCUCGGCUUAACCGGGGAACUGCGUCUGAUACUGGAUGGCUCGAGUUUGGGAGAGGGAUGCGGAAUUCCAGGUGUAGCGGUGAAAUGCGUAGAUAUUUGGAGGAACACCGGUGGCGAAGGCGGCAUCCUGGACCAACACUGACGCUGAUGAGCGAAAGCCAGGGGAGCAAACGGG
RNAcentral lists this ribosomal RNA (253 nucleotides) under uncultured bacterium. RNAcentral describes it as "partial 16S ribosomal RNA". It matches the Rfam family "Bacterial small subunit ribosomal RNA", at positions 524 to 776 of the family's 1533-position model. The record is from RNAcentral.